Molecule: long non-coding RNA, 773 nt
Filed under: Mytilus galloprovincialis (Mediterranean mussel)
Lineage: Eukaryota; Metazoa; Mollusca; Bivalvia; Mytilida; Mytilidae
Source: RNAcentral
UUUUUGUAUGAGGCUGAGAAACUGGGGAUGGGUGAGGUUGUAUCAAACCCUUCCACGGUUUUGUGCCCAAUACAUAAAAGUUUAUAUUUUUAUGACAUUGACCUUAUGUUAUUUUAAACUGCAACUUAAAUUAGUACAUUGAUAGCUAUUUAAAUUGUAACACGAAUUUCAAACUUAUUUUUAUCCCUUUAUGAACCCCUGAUUUUUGAAAAAGUGUUCCAUGAUGAAAUGACUUUGCACAAAAUAUAGCUGUGUUACUAUAUUUAGGAAAUAUACACAACUAGUUGCAUUAUAUAUGCAAUUUGAAUUGACUGACAUAAUUUCCAUAGUAUUACAUGAUUUGCUAUGGUAAACAAUAAAUGUUGUGCCACAGGUAAUAAACAUGUGAAGAAUAUGCUAAAUCCUAGCAGUACAAAAAAAAAGUGGACCAAAUUUUAUGCACAUAUCAGCUCAAACCGAACAAUUCAGUCCCUCCCUUUAAUCCAUCUCUCCUACUUGUGAGGGCCUGAAUACCUAACACAUUAAAAAUGUUCACUAAGCCUGGAUUGUAAUUGGUGUCUUGUAGAAGAGAGGAUCUAUCAGCAAUCAUCUCAAUUUUGAUGAGAUCUGUAAAUCCAGAGCUAAUUCUGAAUGGUUGAUUGAAGACUUUUUAUUGUCUAUGCAUUCAGGCGUUAAUAAAGUAACUGUAGAUCAGGUGAAUAUAACGACUGAAUUAUUUGGGUUAAUAUCAGCUAUCAAAUCUGAUCUCGAAGAUGUGAUGUUGCAUCAAGGCA